UCUGCUUUUAAAGAUAUACACCCUCCCACUAGGGUUUCUUGGCAUCAUCUAUAUGUUUUCCUAUUAGUUACAGACAUUUUGAGCUUUCAUGGUAUCCUAGCGAUCACCCCUCUUGUCUUACAGAUGAGGAAAUAGAUGUCUAGAGAGGUAACUGGCUUGUCAAUAAUUAUGUAGUUAAUUUGUGACUAAGUAGGGACUUGAAACCAGUUUUUCAGAUUUCUAGUUCAGCUUUUGUUCUACUUCCACAAACUGCCAACUAAUUUACCAAGCCAAGAGAAUAAAAGCCAUUCUCAUUCAUCUCAAACUAAAGAAAAAUAUGGAAAAGAAGAAAUAGAGUUUUCAAAGUAUUGAGUUUCACUGAGCAAAAGGGGAAGAUUUGGAGCCAUGUGGAGGAAAGAGGCAGAGAGGCAACAAAAGCAAAUAUCGAAAAGGAGUAGACCAGUUGGAAUUUAUAAUCUUCCUUCUGAACUAAGAGGUACUUCUUCAUAACCCUAAGGGGCUUGGGUUCUGGGCCUGGGCUCCCAAAUCCCUCUGUGUGUAAAUAAAAAACGAUGCUUAAAGCAGA
Non-coding RNA from Macaca mulatta (Rhesus monkey), 565 nucleotides. NCBI's taxonomy places the organism in Eukaryota, Metazoa, Chordata, Mammalia, Primates, Cercopithecidae. The record is from RefSeq and is a predicted model, not a curated record.